Long non-coding RNA from Erigeron canadensis, 297 nucleotides. RefSeq lists it as uncharacterized. Lineage: Eukaryota; Viridiplantae; Streptophyta; Magnoliopsida; Asterales; Asteraceae. The transcript is spliced from 3 exons. The record is from RefSeq and is a predicted model, not a curated record.
GAUCACUAUUAUCACAUCAACCAACAAAGACAAAGGAUAUCAUCAGUAUUGAAACAGCCAGGGAGAAAUGGGGGUUCAAUAAUUGUAGACACAUGAGGCGGCAAAUUGGCCAAGGCUUUCUGCAGAUCUAUUGGUGGUGGAGGUUCUGGGAGUGCUCGGAAACGCCGGUUCAUAGGAAUGCUAUUCCUUGCGAAAUCACAUAAUAUACAACACAAUAAAUUAACAAAUUGAUUCUCAGAUACGACAAAGAAACCUCGCAUAAACAAAAUCAGAUCAAUAGAGGCAGCAAGCAAUUCC